This 640-nucleotide unclassified non-coding RNA is filed under the name Hevea brasiliensis (rubber tree). Lineage: Eukaryota; Viridiplantae; Streptophyta; Magnoliopsida; Malpighiales; Euphorbiaceae. The record is from RNAcentral.
UACUGUUGGCGUGCCUUGUUCAUUAAAUUCCUACUCCUAUAUGUGUGAUGUUCACAAAAAUAGGUAGAAAAAGAAAAAAAUCGAUGAUCCCUUUACACAAAUCAUCAUGCGCGAAUGGAAUUAUCUUAGCAUGGUUUACAUUGCUGCAGUCAUCUAUAUCAAAAUACUCUGAGAUUCCUUUCCACAGGUUUCCAUGACUGCAAGUAAUCCCCAACUUCUUCAAGGACCAUCCAUCAUAUUUUUCUCAGUAUUUUUGAAUUCCUAUGUAAGUUUCUACUGCAAGAGCAGAAUGUCUGGCUUUGAUCUUUUCUACUUUGUACAGAAAGGAUUAGUCAUAGAAAGGUUUAAUUUACUUCUUUUGGAAGGUAACCAUAAUAAUGAAGGCAAUAAUACGACCAGCUAAGCCGAAAACAAUGAGGAAGAUUAAACAACGAUACCAAUGACUGAGAUCAUAACCACUUUCCAUAAGCGAACCACAUCUUGUUAUCAGCCAUACACCAUAAUAUCUUUUAGCAUUUGAUAUGACAAAUGCUUCCAAUGCCCAUUUAGUGUAACAUAAGUCAGAUAGUUUUGUAACAAAGCUGCCGUUUUCACCAUGGGUUGCUAUUAAGGUUAAAACAACUGGAAGAAGCACUGACCA